CGUGGCGGCGUACGGUGACAGCUGAGCUGAAGGAGAUUAACUUAUCCUGCGGCGAGGCACAGCAUGUUGCUCAAGACAAGUCCAGAUGGAGGCAGAUCGUCGAAGCCUUAUGUCCCAUCACGGACGAAGAGGAUCAAAUGGCAAGCUAUAUUACCUCCGCCACAAAGGAUCGGCCAAAGAGCUGAAAGUUAAAGUGGUGUGUGGGGCAGCUGAAGCAGAUGCCAUAUUUAGAGAGUUCCACGCAAGUGACAUUGGCGCACAUUGUGGCCAGAUCAAAACAAGGGAUGCAAUUUCCAAGAGAUGUUACUGGCCCUCCAUGACGUGUGACAUUGAAAAAUGGGUGUCUGAAUGCACAUCCUGUCAACAGAAGGGCAGGGUUGACCUAAAGGCAGGCACAGAGUACAAGCCAAUCAAGGUGAACUUCACCUUUUGCAUUUUAAUUACACAGCAUGUAUCCUUGGCGAGAGGUGGGGUGGCUAGCACUGCAAUCUCCCAUGAAAAGGUGGCCCUAUUCAAACUCUGGCAGGGAUAAGGCCUCGCUGUUUAUAGGUCAAUCAUUUGAGACUACCAAAGUCAAACUAAUUGUGAAGAAUAUGCAAAUGUUGCCUAAAUUUUCAUGUCCCCGAACCAUUGCCUCACAGCAGCUAUAAUUCUCCCUGUGUUUGUGUGAGUUUUUGUGUGUUUACUCCACGCUAACAUUGUUCUCCACUCUUCUCUUCAAGACCAAAUGCCCCUUUGAGCUGGUCGGAAUGGACCUCAUAGGCAGGCUGGUGAAGACCAAGACAGGCAACCAAUACAUUUGUGUGAUAGUAGAUUACUGCACCAGAUGGGCACAGGCAUAUGCCCUAAAAUCUAAAACAGCAGAAGAAGUGACAGGGUGCAUCCUCAAAUUUUUCCAUCAGUUUGAGGUUCCGCAAAGAAUCCUGACUGACCAGGGCAAAGAAUUUGUCAACAAUGUAUGCACAUACCUUUUUGUUUGAUGUAAGAUACACAAACUUAUGAUUUAGUUUAGAAUUAUUGUGUUGUACUUCUCACUGAUACGAUUGAUGACUAUAAUAUUGUUGAUAGAAUACUGCUUGACUUAAAUUGUGAGGUUUAAAAGGACUAAACAUGUGAAAGUACUUGAAGCCAUGAAUUACAAACUACUUUUACAGAUCAACACAGAGGUUUGCCGGCUUUUGGUGGUUAAAAGAAGCCUUACUUGAUUUAAAUGUGAACACCAACAUUUCAUCCCCUCUUACAUAUCUACCACCUCUGUUUUUACCUCGCAUUUCUAAAAAAUAAAAUCUUUCUGGCAGAUAUCAAAGAAGCUUGGGGAGGACAGGAUUGUCACAUUCUUCUGUCCAAAAUUGGAUGAUACAAAAUGUGGUAUUGGGACAUCAAUCGCACAGGGCCCAACAAGGAACUUGAAAGCGAGGUCAUCAAUGCAUACCUACAUAAACUAGUCGAGUGCUACAACAGCCGAGGAGGGAAACAAGCUGCAUACAUUGAUUCAUUUGCCAUGACAAUGAUGAAGCAAGGAAAAAAAACACGAGUGAAACUGGAUCCCAAUUCAUUUUUUGUUGUUUUGGGAGCUGUCCAUGAACCUGGCCACUGUUUUUUUACAGCCAUUUAUCCAGCAGAGCAGCGGAGUCUCGUGCAUGACUCAUUAGGCAACGCUCGCUCUAAAGUACCCAAGUGUUUGGAGUCCACCAGGUCUUUCAUGCGACAGAGGAAUGUUGCACUACCAAAGUGGUCUGCAAACACAGUGCCUCACAGUCUACAAAAAGACAGUACCUCCUGUGGGAUAUUUGUAUAAAUAUGCUGAAAAGGUGUUGGCGGAGGAGGCACCCAUUUUCGAUAAUUCUGACCAGGCGGUGGAGGCAUAUCGGAUGGAUGUUGCAAAAACGCUCCUCAAGGAAACUGAUGAUCUCAGUGAGCUCUGCCACUGCUGCGGAGAGGAGGAGAUUGGUGGGAGCCCCAAAAGUGAUACCACUGACUGGACACAUAAGACCAAGAUAGGCUGCCUGAGGAAACCCGUGGUGCAAAGCACAGGGCAAGUACCUUGUACGGCCCUGAUGAGACGGAGGAGGACCCAGGCCCGGACACUCCCCACAGUGCCUGGAACCUCCAAGCACCACCGGCGCAACCCCGGGGCAGACCGUCGGAGGGGGGACGCGUGGCAUGGAGCGCUACCUGGACACAAGUCGAGGGACUGAUCACCCUCGGCUGGGUCGCCCGGGAGAGGGUGUUUGAUUGAGACCCGAAACACCCUAUGACCCCGGGAGAAUCACUGAUGAUGCCAAGGUUUCUCAUAGUCAUUCACAUUGACGUCCCACUGGGGUGAGUUUUCCUUGCCCGUAUGUGGGCUCUGUACCGAGGAUGUCGUUGUGGCUUGUACAGCCCUUUGAGACACUUGUGAUUUAGGGCUAUAUAAAUAAACAUUGAUUGAUUGAUUGAUUGAUG
Long non-coding RNA from Entelurus aequoreus (snake pipefish), 2445 nucleotides. RefSeq lists it as uncharacterized. The record is from RefSeq and is a predicted model, not a curated record. Lineage: Eukaryota; Metazoa; Chordata; Actinopteri; Syngnathiformes; Syngnathidae. The transcript has 10 exons.